GAUGAACGCUGGCGGCGUGCUUAACACAUGCAAGUCGAACGGAAAGGCCCAAGCUUGCUUGGGUACUCGAGUGGCGAACGGGUGAGUAACACGUGGGUGAUCUGCCCUGCACUUCGGGAUAAGCUUGGGAAACUGGGUCUAAUACCGGAUAGGACCACAUUUUGGAUGGUGUGGUGGAAAGUUUUUCGGUGUGGGAUGAGCUCGCGGCCUAUCAGCUUGUUGGUGGGGUAAUGGCCUACCAAGGCGUCGACGGGUAGCCGGCCUGAGAGGGUGUACGGCCACAUUGGGACUGAGAUACGGCCCAGACUCCUACGGGAGGCAGCAGUGGGGAAUAUUGCACAAUGGGCGCAAGCCUGAUGCAGCGACGCCACGUGGGGGAUGACGGCCUUCGGGUUGUAAACUCCUUUCGCUAGGGACGAAGCGCAAGUGACGGUACCUGGAGAAGAAGCACCGGCUAACUACGUG
Molecule: ribosomal RNA, 465 nt
Filed under: uncultured bacterium
Lineage: Bacteria
Description: partial 16S ribosomal RNA
Rfam family: Bacterial small subunit ribosomal RNA
Source: RNAcentral